AGAGUUUGAUCCUGGCUCAGGAUCAACGCUGGCGGCGUGCCUAACACAUGCAAGUCGAACGCCCUUCGCAAGAAGGGAGUGGCGGACGGGUGAGUAACACGUGGGUUAUCUACCAUCAGGUGAGGAAUACCGGCGAGAAAUCGCCGACAAUACCGCAUGCGCUUCGCAAGAAGCAAAGCUCCGCAAGGGGCGCCCGAUGA
Molecule: ribosomal RNA, 200 nt
Filed under: uncultured bacterium
Lineage: Bacteria
Description: partial 16S ribosomal RNA
Rfam family: Bacterial small subunit ribosomal RNA
Source: RNAcentral